ACAUGGGGAGAAGAGGGAGAGAGAGAGAAGGCGAAUGUUCCCCCAGCUGUUUCCUGUCUACAGUGUCUGUGUUUUGUAGAUAAAUGUGAGGAUUUUCUCUAAAUCCCUCUUCUGCUUGCUAAAUCUCACUGUCACUGCUAAAUUCAGAGCAGAUAGAGCCUGCGCAAUGGAAUAAAGUCCUCAAAAUUGAAAUGUGACAUUGCUCUAACAUCUCCCAUCUCUCUGGAUUUCUUUUUCGCCUCAUUAUCCCUGCCCACCAAUUCAUUUCCAGACUUUGUACUUCAGAAGCGAUGGGGAAAAUCAGCAGCCUUCCAACUCAAUUAUUUAAGAUCUGCCUCUGUGACUUCUUGAAGGUAAAUAUCUCUUACUUUUUUUUUUUUUAACUCGUUGGAGAAUUGUAUUUAAACUGUGUACUGUUUUCUUCUGCCUAGAGUCUUUAUUUGCUUUAGAAUUUGCAUUGUUUCAGAACUGGGGGUUAUUUACAAAUUGCUGAAUGUGCAGUUCUGUGCGAGCUGUAAAAGGAGCUCCGGGGGAUGAAUGCAUUUGCAGAGGUAUCUGUACGGGUAGAAACUAUUGCAAGGUACUUCUGCUAAAGCCUCCGCUUCCACAGGGCUUCCACACUGCCGUUUUAAGAGACUCCUUUAAAUCUAGCCUAUGGCUCGGGGCGAGAAAGAUGACUAUAAACUCGGGAGUGCUUCUCUCUCACAGGUGCAGGCGUUGGCUUUUUCAGAGCAUGUUCUUGUGUCUGUGUCUAUGUAUGUGUGUGAUUUGUCAGGACUUUAUUUACGAGGCAUGUCACAGAUUAAAAGUUACAUUUUAGAUGAUAGGAAGGCUUUUAAAAAAUGCUUUUUUCUUUCUUUUUUUUUGGAGCCAAGAAUCGGGAAUUCUUUGCACUUCUGCCCAGAAAGUCAAAGUUAGGGGAAGUUUAAUUUGCUUUUCUGUAAAAGCUCUUAGACAACUUGCUGUCUUUGCAUAUUCAGAAAUUUUAAACAGAUACAGGCUGUGCUCAGAAAGCAGGAGCUUACUGGCGGCUGCUUGUCCAACUUUUCUCUUUGGAAGGGGACUUUCGUGACUGAGCUGGGGUUUGAAUUUUGGUUUAAGGCUCUGCUCUUAGACUCACCGCGCGGCGCGGCAAGGCAAAGCCUCUUUAGGUGAAUCGGCUGCUGCUUGCCCCUGCUGCUGCUGUGCUGCCUCUGUCACUUGCCUCUGGCUCUGUCGCUCGCCCCUGCCGCUGCUGCUGCUGCUGCUGCUGCUGCUGCUGCUGCUGCUGCUGCCGUUUGCCCCUGCCGCUGUCUAUGUUCUGCCUUCUCCUUUUGAUCACUGGCCCUACUUCAAGUUUCCAUUCUCAGCAAAAUUAUAUCCUUCCAGACUUGUGUUUUUUCAAUUUGCAAGCACUUCUAAGCCGCUGUCACCGGCUCCUUGGAGGCAGUUGCCGGAGGGCUUAAUUCAUAAAAGAUCCCAGUCAAAGAGUGCAGCGGGUUUUUUUUUGUGCUGCAUUCAAAUGCUUCAUCGCUAUGAGUUUUUCUUAGGCAAGUAAGUGGCUUGGGACUUCGGGAAACAACCUUGUCAAGCACCUAAUUGUGCCGUCCUCGCGCUGCCAGCAAGCUUCAGCCACCUUACAGGAGUGAAGUCAGCGUUCAUAUACGCUGUGUGGUCUGGCAGCUGGGAUUGUGUGUCCCAAAGGGAUUGUGGAAUGUUACCUCGGCAGGCAUGCAUUCCACGUUUGGAAAAUCGGCUCCAAAUGAACUUUCUUUCCCUGCUGGGUCUGCAGAACAUUUCAGAAGCGGAGCUAGCAAUACCCUUCAACUUUUUUCCUGUGCUUGCAGCAGGAGAUGGCUGAAGGGAGCUACUGCAUGCGUGGUGGUCUUUGAAACAUAGCUCAGGGAAGAGAGGUCAGCUGCCUAGAGCGAUUGGUACACACAGGGCGCCUGCUGGCUUUGUACUCUGAGGCUCAAGGUAUUUCCCAGUGCCUGAGCCAGGGGACGAUGGGGGAGGAAGGGAAGGAGCUGGAACUUGAAUCACUAUUCUGGAUAGCCGAGAUAGAUAGCCAUACAAUGGAAAUGAGUGGCUUCCCUUGGGGGAAAAAGACGGACUCCAACUCCCAGCUGUGCAAUUUACUCAUUGUUUAAAUGGACAAAAGGCAGUUUACCCAGGCUCAGAGCAUACCUGCCUGGGUGUCCAAAUGUAACUAGAUGCUUUCACAAACCCCACCCACAAAACAACACAUGUUCUUAAGUCCUCAGUUUUGUGUUCACCUCGGCCUCAUAGUACCCACUCUGACCUGCUGUGUAAACGACCCGGACCUACCAAAAUGACCGCACCUGCAGUGAGUACCUACUUACAACUAUUGCCCUUGUAUUUUGACCAGCCAUUUUUGUUGUUGUUCGGACACCUGGAAUCAAUUGAUAUCUCACUUGUUUAACACAGAAAGGUCCUUGGAGAUGUGGAUUUAUCAGUGAUCUUUGAGGAAAGUGUUCUGAGUUCAGGAUUGACUUUUUUUGGCUGUCUCUUGCUCAGGCCCUUCCUCGCCCUCUUCUUAUUACAUCUAUGGCUUCUCUCUACUGGUUUUCCUUGUGGUUGACGAAAUAAGGGCCAGGGGAAAUGGAGAACAUAUGGGGAGACUUGUUUUGGACUUUUUUAAAACUCCUAAGCAAGUCCUAUAUUGUUUUCUGUUUGGGGACCAUGGUGUGAUAAACUCUGACUCUCUGUGGGUAUGCUGGACUAGUCUCUGAGCUAAAGGAAAAUGUACAGAGGUCUAGUAUUGAUAUUUAUCAGACAGUGGUUUUCAGUAUAAGUCCAUGCAGAAAGGAAAAAGGAAAAUUGGUUUGAGCAGUUUUCAGUUUUUCAAUUCUACAGGUACAUAUGUCUUGCUGGACUUAAAUGCACUAUCCCUUAAAAUAACUAUUAAAAUGCAGUUUGGGACAGCUCGUGACAGUCUAAAUUUACAAAGGCUGUGAGAUUGAGUAACAGUUGCUGUGGAGUUGGUUCAAACUAACCAUUGCAGGUGCCUGCUGGCCUUCACCGCUCUCUGAAACUGAGCAGGGGUAGGGGGCAGUGCUUCAGAAAUGGGUUUGCUGGAGUAACUAACAUUCAUUCUAAAGUUGGUCUGUUGCCAGAGUGUAGGGAAGUGUUCUCUAAGAACAGUCAUGGGGAUUACAGGCCUGCCCUUUCACAAAGAACCAUGAAGCCCUGAUGGGUUAGAUUUAUUCAAGUUUCCAUGAAAAAUACUGAAGGGGAAGCUCCGCUGUCUUCUUUUUAUAACUAAGAGGAAUCAAUAGACAUUAGCUCAUUUCUGUAAACUCUGAUGUCUUUGGUUGUAUGGCGAUGGAGUACUUCCAGACUGAAAUCCUACUGAGCAAAGGUACCAAGGGCUUAACUGGGGAGGUACCUCCUCCUUAAUUGCAUGUCCUCUGUUUCCCGUUGACUUGAGAGUGGAGAGUUCCUUUCAUCUCCAGCCACUCUAUACACACUACUGAAAUAUUUACCUUGUGAGAUCAAGAAUCAGGGCCUCCUAGGGGUCCCUUGCCCCCCUCCUAAUGCUAGGCUGAAGAACGAGCCACUAAAUUGAAAAUGAGUUUAAAAUAGUUGAGUAAAAUUUGCCACUGAUAUAGAGCCAUUAAGUAGAGAGCUCACUCACACAGGACAGGGAAAUGGCCAUAAACUCAAUAUCUCUGAGUCUCACUCUCCAAACAAGUGGGGAUUGAAUGAAUUUGCCUCAACUGUGAGAUUCAAA
RNAcentral lists this long non-coding RNA (3733 nucleotides) under Mus musculus (house mouse). Its description in RNAcentral is "NONMMUG004321". Lineage: Eukaryota; Metazoa; Chordata; Mammalia; Rodentia; Muridae. The record is from RNAcentral.